This 253-nucleotide ribosomal RNA is filed under the name uncultured bacterium. RNAcentral's name for it is "partial 16S ribosomal RNA". It matches the Rfam family "Bacterial small subunit ribosomal RNA", at positions 524 to 776 of the family's 1533-position model. The record is from RNAcentral.
UACGUAGGGGGCAAGCGUUGUCCGGAUUUAUUGGGCGUAAAGAGCGUGUAGGCGGCUUUACAGGUCCGUUGUGAAAACUCGAGGCUCAACCUCGAGAUGUCGGCGGAAACCGUCUGGCUAGAGUCCGGAAGAGGAGAGUGGAAUUCCUGGUGUAGCGGUGAAAUGCGCAGAUAUCAGGAAGAACACCUAUGGCGAAGGCAGCUCUCUGGGACGGUACUGACGCUGAGACGCGAAAGCGUGGGGAGCGAACAGG